CGGACGGGUGAGUAACGCGUGGGUAACCUGCCUCAUACAGGGGGAUAACAGUUAGAAAUGGCUGCUAAUACCGCAUAAGACCACAGCACCGCAUGGUGCAGGGGUAAAAACUCCGGUGGUAUGAGAUGGACCCGCGUCUGAUUAGCUGGUUGGUGGGGUAACGGCCUACCAAGGCGACGAUCAGUAGCCGACCUGAGAGGGUGACCGGCCACAUUGGGACUGAGACACGGCCCAA
This 235-nucleotide ribosomal RNA is filed under the name uncultured bacterium. Its description in RNAcentral is "partial 16S ribosomal RNA". It matches the Rfam family "Bacterial small subunit ribosomal RNA", at positions 99 to 334 of the family's 1533-position model. The record is from RNAcentral.